UCGAGAAUUUUUCUCAAUGGGGGAAACCCUGAAGGAGCGACGCCGCGUGGGGGAUGAAUGGCUUCGGCCCGUAAACCCCUGUCAUUUGCGAUCAAACCUUACGACCUAACACGUCGUAAGCUGAUAGUAGCGGAAGAGGAAGGGACGGCUAACUCUGUGCCAGCAGCCGCGGUAAUACAGAGGUCCCAAGCGUUGUUCGGAUUCACUGGGCGUAAAGGGUGCGUAGGCGGUCGGGUAAGUCUGACGUGAAAUCUUCAAGCUCAACUUGGAAACUGCGUCGGAUACUAUUCGGCUAGAGGAAUGGAGGGGAGACUGGAAUACUUGGUGUAGCAGUGAAAUGCGUAGAUAUCAAGUGGAACACCAGUGGCGAAGGCGAGUCUCUGGACAUUUCCUGACGCUGAGGCACGAAAGCCAGGGGAGCAAACGGG
RNAcentral lists this ribosomal RNA (428 nucleotides) under uncultured bacterium. RNAcentral describes it as "bacterial SSU rRNA". It matches the Rfam family "Bacterial small subunit ribosomal RNA", at positions 355 to 776 of the family's 1533-position model. RNAcentral also lists the same sequence under 1 other name. The record is from RNAcentral.